Trichosporon asahii var. asahii CBS 8904 is the source of this 110-nucleotide transfer RNA. It matches the Rfam family "tRNA". Rfam says of the family: Transfer RNA (tRNA) molecules are approximately 80 nucleotides in length. Their secondary structure includes four short double-helical elements and three loops (D, anti-codon, and T loops). Further hydrogen bonds mediate the characteristic L-shaped molecular structure. tRNAs have two regions of fundamental functional importance: the anti-codon, which is responsible for specific mRNA codon recognition, and the 3' end, to which the tRNAs corresponding amino acid is attached (by aminoacyl-tRNA synthetases). tRNAs cope with the degeneracy of the genetic code in two manners: having more than one tRNA (with a specific anti-codon) for a particular amino acid; and 'wobble' base-pairing, i.e. permitting non-standard base-pairing at the 3rd anti-codon position. NCBI's taxonomy places the organism in Eukaryota, Fungi, Basidiomycota, Tremellomycetes, Trichosporonales, Trichosporonaceae. The record is from Rfam.
GGUCUGAUCGUAUAACGGUUAGUACACAAGAUUCUGAUUACCCGCUUCCUCGUCUCUGCGAGUAUUGCAGUGUCGUUCUUGUAAUCUGGGUUCGAUUCCCAGUCGGACCU